This is a long non-coding RNA of Brassica rapa (field mustard), 558 nucleotides long. RefSeq lists it as uncharacterized. The record is from RefSeq and is a predicted model, not a curated record. NCBI's taxonomy places the organism in Eukaryota, Viridiplantae, Streptophyta, Magnoliopsida, Brassicales, Brassicaceae.
CCAACCAAAUCAGUAUAAAGAUAAAUGAGCAUGCCUACCUUUAUCAACUCUCUUUAUUUAAACGUCUUCUUUAAAAGAUAUUUAAAGUUAGAGAUAUGCUUAGAAAUAUACAUUAAAUGUAAAAGCAAACACAGAAAAAAAGAGAGAGAGAGGGGCAAACCCGUGUGCGAUCAGCUAAGAUUAGCGGAAGCUAAGAGAGAAGUAAGCUAAGAGAAUGGAAGUAAGGAAUCUUUCUCGUGAUGUUUGAAGAAGCAUCAAUUGGCAAAUGCAUGACUGGAGGAGGCAAGGCAUUGGUUCACCUGGUGGGUGAUGAAGCCUCGUCAGUGGUGAUGACAUUGACCCUGGUGCUCUAAUCUGUGAAAACAACGCCUGAAACACACAAAACAGCUUUAACAAACCCUUUGUUUCUUAAAUAUGUAACUGAAGAGAGCUUAAUAAGAACCCUAUACGUGUGUGCUUGACUAUCUUCUUUGCGCUGCGCAAAAGCUAUGUAAGUGGUUUCUUUCCUAUCAUCUUUCCAUAUCAUUUCACUCAGCUGCAUUGUUAUAAAUAUUAGUU